GGGGAAUUUUCCGCAAUGGGCGAAAGCCUGACGGAGCAAUACCGCGUGAGGGAUGAAGGCCUAUGGGUUGUAAACCUCUUUUUUCAGGGAGGAAUCAAUGACGUGUACUUGAAGAAUAAGCAUCGGCUAACUCCGUGCCAGCAGCCGCGGUAAGACGGAGGAUGCAAGUGUUAUCCGGAAUCACUGGGCGUAAAGCGUCUGUAGGUGGUUUAGUAAGUCAACUGUUAAAUCUUGAGGCUUAGCCUCAAAAUCGCAGUCGAAACUAUUAGACUAGAGUAUAGUAGGGGUAGAGGGAAUUUCCAGUGGAGCGGUGAAAUGCGUAGAGAUUGGAAAGAACACCGAUGGCGAAGGCACUUUACUGGGCUAUUACUGACACUCAGAGACGAAAGCUAGGGUAGCAAAUGGGAUUAGAUACCCCAGUAGUC
Molecule: ribosomal RNA, 425 nt
Filed under: uncultured cyanobacterium
Lineage: Bacteria; Bacillati; Cyanobacteriota
Description: bacterial SSU rRNA
Rfam family: Bacterial small subunit ribosomal RNA
Source: RNAcentral